This 1997-nucleotide long non-coding RNA is filed under the name Homo sapiens (human). Its description in RNAcentral is "HSALNT0026133". Lineage: Eukaryota; Metazoa; Chordata; Mammalia; Primates; Hominidae. The record is from RNAcentral.
ACUUUAAGGCAUAAAAUCCAUUUUUAAGUAUAUUUACAAUGUUGCACAACCAUCACUCCUAUCUAAUUCCAGAAGAUUUUCAUCACCUGUAUGCAUUAAGCAAUCACUGCUCAUUCCCUCCUCCCUGAGCCCUUGGCAACCACUGAUCUCCUUUCUGUCUAUAAUAAUUUGCCUCUUCUGGACAUUUUAUAUUAAUGGAAUCCUACAGUUUUUGGUCUUUUGUGUCUGACUUCUUUCACUUUGCAUAAUGUUUUCAAUAUUCAUCCAUAUUGUAGCUUAUAUCAGUACUUCAUUUUUUAUGGCUGAAUAUUAUUCCAUUGUGUGUAUUCCACCACAAUUUGUUUAUCUAUUCAUAAACGGGUGGACAUUUGGGUUGUGAUAUAGUUUGGCUCUGUGUCCCCACCCAAAUCUCAUGUUGAAUUGAAUUCCCAAUGCUGAAGGAGGGACCUGGUAGGAGGUGACUGAAUUGCGAAGGUGGAAUUCUCCAUGCUGUUCUCAUGAUAGUGAGGGAGUUCUCACAACAUCUGAUGGUUUAACAGUAUGUGGCACAUCCCCCUCACUCUUUCUCUCUUUCUUGCCACCAUUAGAAGAAGGUACUUGCUUCCCCUUCUCCUUCUGCCAUGACUGUAAGUUUCCUGAGACCUCCCAAUCGUGCUUCCUGUUACACCUGCAGAACUGUGAGUCAAUUAAACCUCUUUUUUCAUUAAGAAGUACGAGUCUCAGGUAGUUCUUUAUAGCAGUGUGAGAAUAGACUAAUACAGGUUGCUUUCAUUUUUUGGCUAUCGUGCUAUGCUGCUAUAAUUGGUGUACAAGUUUUUGUAUGAACAUAUGGUUCCAUUAUUCUUGGGUGUAUAACCUGAAAUGCAAUUACUGAGUCAUAUGCUAACUCUAUGUUUAACUUUUUGAGGACUGGAAAACUGUCUUCCACAGUGGCUACACCAUUGCACACUCCUACUAGCAAAGUAUGAGCUCUCCAAAGACUUCAUACAUUGAAUCUACACAUUCUCUUCAACAGUUGUUAUUAUUUUUUUAUUAUAGCCAUCCUAGUGAGCAUAAUAUUAUAUAUAUCUUUGGUAUUGUUCUACUCGUGAUGAAUUCUCAAUUCUUUCUGUCUAAAAACAUGUUCAUUUCACUUUAAUGUUUAAGAGCUAUUUUUGCUAUGUCUUGAAUUCUAAUUUGGAAAUAUUUUCUUUCAGCAUCUAAAACUGCCAUUUAAUUGUCUCUGGCUUCUGUUUAAGCUGCAAAUGUAGUUGUCAGUCUCAUUGUUGCUCUUUUGAAGGAAAUGUUCCUCUUUUGUUUUAACUAGUUUUACUAAUGUUUUCUUUUUCCUUGUUUUUCAGCAGUUUUACUAUAAUGUGAAUUGACUUUUUGCAGGUGGAAUUUUAAAAUAAUCCCCCAAUGACCCUCACCCCUUUGUAAUCAUCUCUUCUUCAGUGUUGGUGGGACCUACGUAUAGGAUAAGACAGUGCUCCUGAGAUCAUGCUAUGUUGUGUAUAAAGGGAUUCCGCAGAUGUAGUCGGGGCCCCAGGUUAGUCAGCAUUGAGUUAAUCAAUGGUUAGAUUAUCCCACUUGGGUCUUUUAAAGACAUCAGAUGAUGUCUUUAAAAGCAGAGAGGUUUCCCAGAAGCCAUGCUGUGAACUACUUAUAGGUUCAAGUGGCCCGUAGCAACUUAGAGUGAUCUUUCAACAGUCGCUGGAAAAAAAAUGGGACCUCAGUCACAAAACCAUGUGGGAUUCAAUUCUGUCUGCAAUUCUGAAAGAACUGAAAUGAGGUCCCCAUGCUACAGAUGAGAACCACAGCCCUGGAAGACGCCUGGAUUGCAGCCUUGUGAAAACCGAGCAAAAGACCCAACUGAGCCCUGCCUGGCUUUCAGUUCUACAGAGCUGUGAGAUGAUACGUGCAUGAAGUUUUAUGCCUCUAAGUUUGUGGCAAUAGAAAACCAGUACUUGCAUUGCAUUUUCAAAAUUGUGUUUGCUGCUUUUAAACCUUGCAGAGAG